AGCGUAGACGGAAUGGCAAGUCUGAUGUGAAAGGCCGGGGCUCAACCCUGGGACUGCAUUGGAAACUGUCAAUCUAGAGUACCGGAGGGGUAAGUGGAAUUCCUAGUGUAGCGGUGAAAUGCGUAGAUAUUAGGAGGAACACCAGUGGCGAAGGCGGCUUACUGGACGGUAACUGACGUUGAGGCUCGAAAGCGUGGGGAGGCAAAACA
This 209-nucleotide ribosomal RNA is filed under the name uncultured bacterium. RNAcentral describes it as "partial 16S ribosomal RNA". It matches the Rfam family "Bacterial small subunit ribosomal RNA", at positions 568 to 776 of the family's 1533-position model. The record is from RNAcentral.